This 793-nucleotide ribosomal RNA is filed under the name Adorybiotus granulatus. Its description in RNAcentral is "partial 28S ribosomal RNA". It matches the Rfam family "Eukaryotic large subunit ribosomal RNA", at positions 646 to 1868 of the family's 3401-position model. Lineage: Eukaryota; Metazoa; Tardigrada; Eutardigrada; Parachela; Adorybiotidae. The record is from RNAcentral.
AACCGGUCUUGAAACACGGACCAAGGAGUUCAACAUGCGCGGUAGUUGUUGGGACUUGAAGCCCGCUAGCAAAGUGAAAGCAAGACAUAGUGUAACGCUGUGUAUUGGCGUGAUCCCGUCACUUGGUCUGCAAUGACCGAGCCGGGCGCAUCGCCGGCCCGUCAUAAGCUCACGUGGCUGUGGCGGAGCUUGAGCGUGCACGUUGAGACCCGAAAGAUGGUGAACUAUGCCUGGGCAGGAUCGGCGGUGGCGUCAAAAGCUUACGGGCGUGAGCCUGGCUGGAGCCGCCGCCGGUGCAGAUCUUGGUGGUAGUAGCAAAUACUCAAGCGAGAACCUUGAAGACUGAAGUGGGGAAGGGUUCCAUGUGAACAGCAGUUGAACAUGGGUCAGUCGAUCCUAAGGUAUCGGCGAAAGCCGUUCAGAAGCGGUGUGGAUAGUGUCUUCGGGCACUGGUUGCUGUAUUGUCCUUACGGUUGAUGCAGUGAUCACCGCACCUACCGAAAGGGAAUCGGGUUAAUAUUCCCGAACCCGGCAUCGGAUAUUGGUCUGUCUUCGGGCAGACACAUGCGGUAACGCAAAUGAACUCGGAAACGCUGACACGUGCCCUAGAAAGAGUUGUCUUUUCUUCAUAAGGCACAGGCUCCCUGGAAUCGGAUCAUCCGGCGAUAGGGAGAUGGUGUCCGUAGAGCACCGCGGUUCUUGCGGUGUCUGGUGCGCACGUGUCGGUCCUUGAAAAUCCGAGGGAGAGUGUGAUUUUCGUGCCGGAUCGUACCCAUAUCCGCAGCAGGUCUCC